Molecule: ribosomal RNA, 914 nt
Filed under: uncultured archaeon
Lineage: Archaea
Description: bacterial SSU rRNA
Rfam family: Archaeal small subunit ribosomal RNA
Source: RNAcentral
UUCCUGGUUGAUCCUGCCGGAGGCUACCGCUAUUGGAGUUCGAUUAAGCCAUGCGAGUCUAGAGGCCUAGCCUCGGCGUACCGCUCAGUAACACGUGGGUAACCUACCCUAUGCUGGGGAAUAAGCUCGGGAAACUGAGAAUUAUACCCCAUAGUCCACUACGCCUGGAACGGUGAGUGGAUCAAAGCUCCGGCGGCAUAGGAUGGGCCUGCGGCGUAUCAGGUUGUAGGGGGUGUAAUGUACCCUCUAGCCAUCCACGCGUACGGGUGUUGGGAGACAUUGCCCGGAGAUGGAUUCUGAGACACGAAUCCAGACCCUACGGGGUGCAGCAGGCGCGAAAACUUGGCAAUGCGAGAAAUCGUGACCAGGGAACUCCAAGUGGCAGGGGUAAGACCCUGUCUUUUUCCGACUCUAAAUAGGUCGGCGAAUAAGGGGUGGGUAAGGACGGUGCCAGCCGCCGCGGUAAUACCGGCGCCUCAAGUGGUAGUCGCUUUUAUUGGGCCUAAAACGUCCGUAGCCGGUCUGGUACAUUCGUGGGUAAAUCAACUCGCUCAACGAGUUGAAUUCUGCGAGGACGGCCAGACUUGGGACCGGGAGAGGUGUGGGGUACUCUCAGGGUAGGGGUAAAAUCCUGUCAUCCUGAGAGGACCACCUGUUGCGAAGGCUCCACACUAGAACGGAUCCGACGGUCAGGGACGAAGCCUAGGGGCACGAACCGGAUUAGAUACCCGGGUAGUCCUAGGUGUAAACGCUGUGGACUUGAUGUUGGGGACGCUCCGAGCGUUCUCAGUGUCGAAGCGAAGGUGAUAAGUCCACUGCCUGGGGAGUACGGUCGCAAGGCUGAAACUUAAAGGAAUUGGCGGGGGAGCACCGCAACCUGAGGAUUGUGCGGUUUAAUUGGAUUCAACGCCGGA